This 254-nucleotide ribosomal RNA is filed under the name uncultured bacterium. Its description in RNAcentral is "partial 16S ribosomal RNA". It matches the Rfam family "Bacterial small subunit ribosomal RNA", at positions 524 to 776 of the family's 1533-position model. The record is from RNAcentral.
UACGUAGGGGGCAAGCGUUGUCCGGAUUUAUUGGGCGUAAAGAGCUCGUAGGUGGUUCGGUAAGUCGGAUGUGAAAUCUCCAGGCUCAACCUGGAGGGGUCAUUCGAUACUGCCGUGACUAGAGUUCGGUAGGGGAGUGUGGAAUUCCUGGUGGAGCGGUGAAAUGCGCAGAUAUCAGGAGGAACACCGGUGGCGAAGGCGGGUCUCUGGGCCGAUACUGACGCUGAGGAGCGAAAGCGUGGGGAGCGAACAGG